CCCUAUGGGGUGCAGCAGGCCCACAAAGAUGUAGGCAACAAAUAUCAGGGCACCCAAGCCGAUGGCCUGGAGCGGGUCGGAUUGGAGAAAUAGGGCGAAGCUAUCGUUCAUAACCGAUCAAUCAUGGCCGCCACCAAUGUCGGAGCCGAGGCAGUUCAUCAUCCAGGUCAUGCACCGGACCAGCGGGUAGGCUUGCCAAAAGACCAUCUGCCCCAGCAGCAGGAUUGAGACCGGCAGCGCGCCAUACAGCGCCAUUUCGAUCCGGUACGAAGCGCGGGCCUGGUAGAUUUCGGCCGCCUUGCG
RNAcentral lists this ribosomal RNA (303 nucleotides) under uncultured prokaryote. RNAcentral's name for it is "partial 16S ribosomal RNA". The record is from RNAcentral.